UUUUUUUUUUUUUUUUUUUUUUUUUUUUGUCUUUUUUAGGGCCGCCCCCGAAGCAUAUGGAGGUUCCCAGGCUAGGGGUCUAAUCGGAGCUGUAACUGCCAGCCUAUGCCAGAGCCACAGCAAUGCAGGAUCCGAGCCAUGUCUGCAACCUACACCACAGCUCACGGCAAUGCCGGAUCCUUAACCCACUGAGCAAGGCCAGGGAUCAAACCCACAACCUCGUGGUUCCUAGUCAGAUUCAUUAACCACUGAGCCAUGAUGGGAACUCCUCAAUCUUUUCUUAUUUCAUUUUUCUUAUUAUUUAUUUAUUUGGCCACACCCACAGCCCAUGGAAGUUUCCAGGUCAGGGAUCAAAACCAUGCCACAGCAGUGACUCGAGCCACUGCAGUGACAAUGCCAGAGCCUUAACUUGCCCCACCACAAGGAAACUCUCUUUUCGUUUUUCUUUUUUUGCUUUUUAGGGCCAGUGCAGCAUAUGGAAGUUCCCAGCUAGGGGCUGAGUAAGAGCUCUAGCUGUGGGCCUACACCACAGCUACAGCAACACCAGAUCCGAGCCACAUCGGCAACCUAGACCACAGCUCAUGGCAACACUGGAUCCCAACCCACUGAGCACGGCCAGGGAUCAAACCCGAAUCCUCAUGGAUACAAGUCAGAUACAUUUCCACUGUACCACACGGGGAACUCCUCUUUUCUUAUUUCAACACAACUAUCGCAAAGGUACAACUUGCUCCUACGUUUUCUAAUUACUAACAGUGAAUCAUUCUUACUCUAAUCCACUUACAGAUUUUGUUUUAUUGCCAUAUUCAUGUUUUCCACUUUAUACAUGUAUUAUUACAGUAAAAAUUUGAACUUACAUACAAUUUAGAAGACAUCUGCCUUUAAGGAUACAAAACAAUAACAAAAGAUAGACCCCCAAAUUAUCCCACCAACAUGAACAACUACAGAUUCCUUUAUAGCAUUUGAGAGUGUGUCUGUCUUUCUUCAAGGCCUGUUUCUCUACUGUUUGGGACAAAUGUGAUUUUUACUUGAAAGCCACAUUUUAAACUGUUUACAAUGUGUUUUGUUAAGUGAACUGAAUUAAAUUUCACAUUCACCAAUUAUGUUUCUCAUCUCUAACCAUUCACAAGAAUCUUCAAGUAAGAAGUAGUUUUAAACAUUCUAAAGAACUCAGAAUUUUAAAGAUGCCAUAAAUUUUAUAUUAGAUAGUUCACUAAAUGGACUGGGAUUUUCAUUUCUGAAUAUUUGAAUAAUAUGAUUAUUUGGAGAACUACUUAAUUGAAAAGAAUGACUUUGAGUAUAUGAGAACUGAGAAGAAAAAAAUAAAUUGAAACUAUUUCUUCUUCUUUUUUUUUUUUUUUUUUUUUUUUUUUGUCUUUUUACCAUUUUCUUGGGCCGCUGCUGCGGCAUAUGGAGAAAAGACAAAAAGACAAAAAAAAAAAAAAAAAAGUAAGCAAAAGGCACAUUUUUAGAACUUUUAAUCACUAUAAUUCCAUCGUUCCAUAUAAACUUCCAGACUGUAGCUCUCUUCCCUAAGGUUCUGAGAAAAUCAAUUUGUUAACCUCACAGACAAAAAUAUCAGACGGUGAGUUCACCUCGGUGGAAAAAAAAAAAAAAGCUGGGGAGACCAAAUUGGAGGAGAAAAAUUGACAACACUUUGCCCACUCCAAGUAAAACAUUUUAAAAGAAGCAACUGAACGCUGAGAGAAGAGCAAGCUCCAGGCAAACGAACAUACAGCGCAGCAAAUCUAGGUAGCUGGAUUCCCGGGGCAACAGGAGAAACCAGUGAAACUUGCAAAGCCUCCAACCAAAAUCGUGAUCUCCCAGGAAAAAAUUUCAGAAUGGAGGGAGGGUGAAAACUUUCCCAGUCCCCGAGCCCAUAGCUGUACAACCAUAUCCCACCACUAGGUGGCGGCGGCAAAGGCUGCCAGCGGGGGGCUGUUUUCUCCCCGUCUUCCGCUCCAGGACGCACAGCUCAGUUCAGGAGAGAACCCACCAGCCCCUCACCUUGCUCGAAUUUGUUAAAUGUCGGGUUAUGAAAAAAAAGAAAAACAUUCAGCCCUUAGAUCCUUAGGUCACCAAGUAACAGCCUCUCCUAAAAGUGUUCACACCAAGGCUGAACGAUGGGAGGGACCGACCUGCAUAUUUUCAACUCCGCUGGAGUUUUCAAAGCAAACCUUCCAGGUUACUGCUUUAAAGACAAGUGAAGCCGAAAUUACGGCGUGAACCCUGGAGAAGCCGCUGGGCUGUGCAUCACCUACUAACCCUUCGUGUACAGUGCCGCAAGGUGAUGAAACCGGCUGAAUAAACAUGAAUCGUUUUAUUGUUAGCCAGAAAGUCUUCCUUCAUUCAUCAAAGUGGGUGAAUGAAAAUAUUAAAAAGGUAAGAUAUUUUCGUGGGCUAUUCCCCCAGUAUUCUUCUGAAGUCAAAACCAUAGUCAGGCUGCGUUCUACCGUGGGUGUCAAAUAAAGCCUCCUCCCAUGAAAGGGAAAACCACUUCCCCCUUCAUAAAAAGGCUGCACCCAGAGCUCAAAUCUUGGUAAAAGAGAUGUUACAUAAAUUCCAGGUGCUCCUAAAUAUGUAUGUUUACCUCAUGCAAUCACUUCGGAAGCAUCUAAGUUUCUGCGCCACUUUCUCUUUUUCUUUUCUCUUUUUCCCAUCUCAAGGAAGAGUCAAAAAGUGUUUAUAUUCUUGACUUGGAAUCUUACCCACUCCAUGUAGAUAUUCCCUACCAGCUAAGUGCAGAAAAUCUAAUGAUUUGCAUCCGAAACGCAUCAAGCAUCAGCACACUUACCUUUCUCUUCUUAACUGAGCCAAAAAAAAAAAAAAUUUUUUUUCACUUAUCUCUCCCCCUCCCCAAAGGGGAAAAAAAACCUACCCCUGAAAUCCUUCAUUAUUUUCUAGGUGAUCUGUACAGUCACUCUCUCUUGUCACUGUAUGAACAAACGAAUUCCUCAACAUCUUACUUUGCCAUUAAAAGGCUUCUUUCCACACGACGGGAUUUCCCUAAGAAACAUUCCCAGCGGAUGGUUUCCAGCAAUAGCCUAUAUCAACUCUGCCUGCGCAAGCAAAGACUUGGCUUCUGCUAAUUCCACCCCCACCCCCAGCGCACACCAAUUCACUCGCACAACCAUCCUGGGCCGACUCGAAAAAGCUAUUUCACUUGCAUGUUUGCCCAUCUCUUCCUGAAUGAAUGCUUUUCCAACUGACCUUUCAACAGCUGCCGAGAUGGCACGAUCUGCUAAGGUUAGAGCUGGAAACUAGGGGAUAUUUUAGCAUCCUAAUCCCUGCAACCUCAACGUUUCUCCUUCUCUGCCCAAGUCCAGAUUCCCUGAGCACUAGGGCAGGAACCCUGAAGCGUUUGCAGAGCAGCUCUCUGAGGUGUCCUGCUCGCGACCAACUCACUGCGGGCAUCCUGCAUACUCACAGCCCCAGCCCACAAGCCGCCCGACACCCGCACCCUGGCCCGCGGCGAAUGCGCCAGGCACGCACCAGCCCUGCCUCUUACCUUCCCUGGCUUUCAGCAAGACCGUGUUGGCCACGAUGUUUUCCAGCUCCAUUGACAGUCGGCGGUCAGCGAGGAAGCCGGCCGGCGGGGCUGUCAGCUCCUGAGGGUGCUGCCGCUGCUACUGCCGCUGCUCGGGCUGCUGCCGCUGCUGCCGGAGCCGGGAGCAAGCAGCCCGCCUUGCCUACCGCAUUAUUCCGGCUCUUAUCCCUCGGAGUUUUCCCCCUCUGCAAAGAGGAGCCGCCGCCGCCGCUUCUUCCUCCCUCUGUGUCCC
Molecule: long non-coding RNA, 3776 nt
Filed under: Sus scrofa (pig)
Lineage: Eukaryota; Metazoa; Chordata; Mammalia; Artiodactyla; Suidae
Description: lncRNA (ENSSSCG00015007108.1)
Source: RNAcentral